Molecule: ribosomal RNA, 497 nt
Filed under: uncultured bacterium
Lineage: Bacteria
Description: partial 16S ribosomal RNA
Rfam family: Bacterial small subunit ribosomal RNA
Source: RNAcentral
GACGAACGCUGGCGGCGUGCCUAAUACAUGCAAGUAGAACGCUGAAGAGAGGAGCUUGCUCUUCUUGGAUGAGUUGCGAACGGGUGAAUAACGCGUAGGUAACCUGCCUUGUAGCGGGGGAUAACUAUUGGAAACGAUAGCUAAUACCGCAUAACAAUGGAUGACACAUGUCAUUUAUUUGAAAGGGGCAAUUGCUCCACUACAAGAUGGACCUGCGUUGUAUUAGCUAGUAGGUGAGGUAAUGGCUCACCUAGGCGACGAUACAUAGCCGACCUGAGAGGGUGAUCGGCCACACUGGGACUGAGACACGGCCCAGACUCCUACGGGAGGCAGCAGUAGGGAAUCUUCGGCAAUGGGGGCAACCCUGACCGAGCAACGCCGCGUGAGUGAAGAAGGUUUUCGGAUCGUAAAGCUCUGUUGUAAGUCAAGAACGGGUGUGAGAGUGGAAAGUUCACACUGUGACGGUAGCUUACCAGAAAGGGACGGCUAACUACGUG